GGAACACAUCCUCCCAUCAGUCCAAGGCUGAGCAGCAACCGCAAGACUUCACUUGCAGAGAUUUGCCUGCAGGUCCCCCACCUGGAGCUCCCUGAAGAGGAUGUAACGGAGUUGGUCCUAGGAUAUUUCUUAGCACCAGCUGUCUUAGCCCCCCACUUUCAAAGGCUGGCUGGGGACCCUUGUGGGCACUGAGAUACCCUGGAGAAGAGGCCUAGAGAAGAUGAGCUGGGUGGCAAUGGUCUUCUCCAGGAUCCAAGAGUUGACUCAAUCCUAACCCUAACUGGUGGUCUUGAGGAAGGAGAUGCAGGUGUGAUCUCUAGCCUGG
RNAcentral lists this long non-coding RNA (325 nucleotides) under Cricetulus griseus (Chinese hamster). Its description in RNAcentral is "lncRNA (ENSCGRG00015037632.1)". The record is from RNAcentral. Lineage: Eukaryota; Metazoa; Chordata; Mammalia; Rodentia; Cricetidae.